AUUUGAUUGAUAUCAGAGAAAUUGCUUUUGGUGGACAGGAUCUAUACAUUCGGAUGUCGGCUUCUGAACUAGUUGGUUUAGAAGAUGUGGGAGGUAAUCAGAACAAGAAGAUGAUGGUGAUAAUCAUCCCUUCUGUUAUUGCAACUUCUGGAAUUCUAGCAGUCAGCUAUUACUACUUCAAAAGCCGGAAGAAACUAAAAGAAAAAAAUAAAAUGCAAGACAAAAAUCAAGAAUCAGACGAGGAACUGGAGCUGCCAUUAUUUGACUUUGCCACAAUAUCACAUGCAACCAACAAAUUU
Jatropha curcas is the source of this 299-nucleotide non-coding RNA. NCBI's taxonomy places the organism in Eukaryota, Viridiplantae, Streptophyta, Magnoliopsida, Malpighiales, Euphorbiaceae. The record is from RefSeq and is a predicted model, not a curated record.